UCCGGCUUAACGCCGGCAGUCUCCCUAGAGUGCCCAACUUAAGGGUGGCAACUAAGGGCGAGGGUUGCGCUCGUUGCGGGACUUAACCCAACAUCUCACGACACGAGCUGACGACAGCCAUGCAGCACCUGUCACCGGUCCAGCCGAACUGAAGGUUCCCAUCUCUGGAAACCGCGACCGGGAUGUCAAGGGCUGGUAAGGUUCUGCGCGUUGCUUCGAAUUAAACCACAUAAUCCACCGCUUGUGCGGGUCCCCGUCAAUUCCUUUGAGUUUUAACCUUGCGGCCGUACUCCCCAGGCGGUCAACUUCACGCGUUAGCUUCGUUACCAAGGAAUUGCUUCCCCGACAACCAGUUGACAUCGUUUAGGGCGUGGACUAC
Molecule: unclassified non-coding RNA, 379 nt
Filed under: uncultured Pseudomonadota bacterium
Lineage: Bacteria; Pseudomonadati; Pseudomonadota
Description: uncultured proteobacterium contains 16S-23S intergenic spacer region
Source: RNAcentral